AACGCACAUUGCGCCCGCCAGUAUUCUGGCGGGCAUGCCUGUUCGAGCGUCAUUUCAACCAUCAAGCCCCCGGGCUUGCGUUGGGGCCCUGCGGCUGCCGCAGGCCCCGAAAAGCAGUGGCGGGCUCGCAGUCACACCGAGCGCAGUAGCGAUAUUCGCUCCGGGCGUCGGCUGCGGGCACCGGCCGUGAAACCCCCCCUUCUACAAGGUUGACCUCGGAUCAGGUAGGAAUACCCGCUGAACUUAA
This 247-nucleotide unclassified non-coding RNA is filed under the name uncultured Sordariales. Its description in RNAcentral is "sequence contains 5.8S rRNA gene, ITS2, 28S rRNA gene". The stretch from base 1 to 52 matches the Rfam family "5.8S ribosomal RNA", at positions 103 to 154 of the family's 154-position model. Lineage: Eukaryota; Fungi; Ascomycota; Sordariomycetes; Sordariales. The record is from RNAcentral.